GGAAGUAAAGGUCGUAACAAGGUUUCCGUAGGUGAACCUGCGGAAGGAUCAUUAACGAAUAUAUGUCUGUUUUAAGACAUUUUUCUAUUUCAAACACCUGUGAAUUUUAUGAAAUUUUUGCUUUGGCUGAAAUUAAUAUAUAUAUAUAUAUUUUUUUCGGCCAAACGUUUUUAAUUAAAACCUUUUUAUUUAUAAACAUUUUGAAUCUGAAGACUGUUUUAUGAAAAAUUUAUUUAAAACUUUCAACAACGGAUCUCUUGGUUCUG
This 266-nucleotide unclassified non-coding RNA is filed under the name plant metagenome. RNAcentral's name for it is "partial contains small subunit ribosomal RNA, internal transcribed spacer 1, and 5.8S ribosomal RNA". The stretch from base 1 to 54 matches the Rfam family "Eukaryotic small subunit ribosomal RNA", at positions 1778 to 1831 of the family's 1831-position model. The record is from RNAcentral.